GACCGCGACCCCAGGUCAGGCGGGACUACCCGCUGAGUG
This 39-nucleotide ribosomal RNA is filed under the name Wulfeniopsis amherstiana. RNAcentral's name for it is "partial 26S ribosomal RNA". Lineage: Eukaryota; Viridiplantae; Streptophyta; Magnoliopsida; Lamiales; Plantaginaceae. The record is from RNAcentral.